Molecule: ribosomal RNA, 259 nt
Filed under: uncultured archaeon
Lineage: Archaea
Description: partial 16S ribosomal RNA
Rfam family: Archaeal small subunit ribosomal RNA
Source: RNAcentral
CAGCCAUAAACGAUGCGCGUUAGGUGUAUCGACGACCACGAGUCGUCGAGGUGCCGAAGGGAAACCGUGAAACGUGCCGCCUGGGAAGUACGGUCGCAAGGCUGAACUUAAGGAUUGGCGGGGGAGCACCACAACGGGUGGAGCCUGCGGUUUAAUUGGACUCAACGCCGGGAAGCUCACCGGAUAAGACAGCGGAAUGAUUGCCGGGCUGAAGACUCUGCAUGACUAGCUGAGAGGUGGGUGCAUGGCGUAGACGUCU